This is a long non-coding RNA of Hyaena hyaena (striped hyena), 585 nucleotides long. RefSeq lists it as uncharacterized. Lineage: Eukaryota; Metazoa; Chordata; Mammalia; Carnivora; Hyaenidae. The record is from RefSeq and is a predicted model, not a curated record. The transcript is spliced from 2 exons.
AAUACGCCUGAUGAGUGACUUAGACUAGGCACCGUGUUAAAUGUUUGACAGUCAUUUCUAAUCCUCAUGUCAACCUCAAGAGGGAGGUACUAUUAUUAUCCACGUUGCAUAGAUGAGAGAAGUGAAAGGUUAGGUAACCUGCCCCAGCUCCCAUCACCAUCAUGGCUCGCUUGCUCUGAGGCUGUCCUGUCCCAGCCAGGCCUGUCUCACUUUGAAGAAAGAAGAAGGUAACAUACCUGUGUUUCACGACAAGCAGGUGACACAGCUGCAUCUCAAGGCCAGCUGCAAGGCACCAGGGGACACCGAAGAGAGAGGAUCUGGAUAAAAGGCGCUUCUGUUGACUCUUAGUCACAAGAUGCAACAGACUGAGCCACACAGCGGGGCACUGUUGUCAGUGGCCCAGAGUUUAGCCACUGGAAGGGUGGGAAGGGAGAAAUGGGCACGCAGUUCUUCGAGCAUCACCUGGAGCCUCUGGGCAGUUAUUUAAGAACUACCAGUGGACCAGGACCAAGAAGACUGGAAGACAAAAGAGGAGGCCUUUACAACAGCUAUAAUGAAGUAAAUAAACUGAUUUGGGCAAAUGGC